Molecule: ribosomal RNA, 415 nt
Filed under: uncultured bacterium
Lineage: Bacteria
Description: bacterial SSU rRNA
Rfam family: Bacterial small subunit ribosomal RNA
Source: RNAcentral
UGGGGAAUUUUGGACAAUGGGCGAAAGCCUGAUCCAGCAAUGCCGCGUGAGUGAAGAAGGCCUUCGGGUUGUAAAGCUCUUUUGUCAGGGAAGCGGUACCUGAAGAAUAAGCACCGGCUAACUACGUGCCAGCAGCCGCGGUAAUACGUAGGGUGCAAGUGUUAAUCGGAAUUACUGGGCGUAAAGCGUGCGCAGGCGGUUUUGUAAGUCUGUCGUGAAAUCCCCGGGCUCAACCUGGGAAUUGCGAUGGAGACUGCAAGGCUAGAAUCUGGCAGAGGGGGGUAGAAUUCCACGUGUAGCAGUGAAAUGCGUAGAGAUGUGGAGGAACACCGAUGGCGAAGGCAGCCCCCUGGGUCAAGAUUGACGCUCAUGCACGAAAGCGUGGGGAGCAAACAGGAUUAGAUACCCUAGUAGU